This is a long non-coding RNA of Bos taurus (domestic cattle), 791 nucleotides long. Lineage: Eukaryota; Metazoa; Chordata; Mammalia; Artiodactyla; Bovidae. The record is from Ensembl.
CAAGUACUCUUUAUUUAUUGAAGAGCAAGAAUAACCAUCGAGUUAUUGGACUUUGAGCUAAGAUGAAUGUUUAAAUCCUGAGGACUAGGCGCUAAAUAACAGCUGACGCAGGUGCUACGCAGAAGUGGAUUCAGUGAAGCUAGGAAGACAGGAGCGGCAGACAGGAUUCGGAGCCAGUGUUGGUGAAAACUAGGACUGAGGAGCCAGCGGCAGUUCGUGAAGAUAGGAAAGAGAAGCCCGGGAGCCAGUGCGACUUGGUGAAGGAAGCUAGGAAGAAGGAGCGAGUCCUAACGAUUUGGAGGUGAAGCUAGGAGAGGAUUCCAGGAAGGAGGAAGCCAGUGCGGUGUGGUGAAGCUAGCGUGCGGCUUGGCUUGGCAACCACGCGGAGGCGGCGAGCAGGCGGAGUGGAGGAUAGAUAGAGGAUCCUAGAGCAGCAGACCAGUGUACGAGCCCCGCAGGGAGAGCCAGUGGUGUGGUAAAAAUCCGUGAAGUCGGCACUAUCGUGGGUUUUUUUUCCUCCUGUAACUCAGUAUGUGAUGUUUAACUAAAUAUCUCCUGAAGCCAACUGUUGGAAGGUGGAAAAAUCUGUGCAGGAAUCACCAUCUAGUUCUUAAAACAGGAUGGAAAUGUGGCUUGAGACAAUUCUUUCCAAGCAGAUGAAUCAAUAAAAGAUGAAGACAAAAGUGCUCCAUCUUCUGGCCAAGUAUGGAUGUUCACCAGCAGAUAUUUCCUGUUGUAUUAAUAAAAGGAAGCAUGAUGUCGCCGGGACAAGAUCUUGAAGAUAGCUAUUA